This 112-nucleotide ribosomal RNA is filed under the name Nannospalax galili (Upper Galilee mountains blind mole rat). Lineage: Eukaryota; Metazoa; Chordata; Mammalia; Rodentia; Spalacidae. The record is from RNAcentral.
GUUUACGGCCAUACCACCCUGAAUGUGCCCCAUCUUGUCUGAUCUCAGAGGCUAAGGUGGGUUGGGCCUGGUUAGUACUUGGAUACAGGAGAAGUUCAGGUUUUCAUUUAGA